AAGAUCCCGUGAGUUUGGUUGGAUACUCUCACUGUAUCGGGCACCCAGAGAGCAGAGGUAAGUGGUAGACUUUAUUUUUAGAUGAAAUUUUCACUUUAUAGAAAUAUUGUGUUGUACCGCGUUGUUGAAUUGGAGGGAAAUUGGGAACGGAAGGUUACUCUGAAGCAUGCAAUCGUGGGUUGACGGCAAUAGAGCAAGUUUUAAUGUACUGUUAGGUGUGAGGUGAGGUCCAAAUGAUAGACAGACGAUAGAUAUGGAUUAGAUCUCCAUGAUGGCACACUUUCCUGAAAUCGUACUGUACUUGGGGGUUAUUUUUUUCCAGCUGCUAUUAACUCGCUUCUCAGGUUUUCCAAAAAAUAAAAAACUUAAUAUCAUUAAAGGCAGC
Molecule: small RNA, 385 nt
Filed under: Histoplasma capsulatum var. duboisii H88
Lineage: Eukaryota; Fungi; Ascomycota; Eurotiomycetes; Onygenales; Ajellomycetaceae
Description: Histoplasma capsulatum H88 hypothetical RNA
Source: RNAcentral